This 253-nucleotide ribosomal RNA is filed under the name uncultured bacterium. RNAcentral's name for it is "partial 16S ribosomal RNA". It matches the Rfam family "Bacterial small subunit ribosomal RNA", at positions 524 to 776 of the family's 1533-position model. The record is from RNAcentral.
GACAGAGGAUGCAAGCGUUAUCCGGAAUGAUUGGGCGUAAAGCGUCUGUAGGUGGCUUUUUAAGUCCGCCGUCAAAUCCCAGGGCUCAACCCUGGACAGGCGGUGGAAACUACCAAGCUGGAGUACGGUAGGGGCAGAGGGAAUUCCCGGUGUAGCGGUGAAAUGCGCAGAUAUCGGGAGGAACACCAAUUGCGAAGGCAGCUCGCUGGGACGUCACUGACGCUGAGACGCGAAAGCGUGGGGAGCAAACAGG